Molecule: non-coding RNA, 468 nt
Organism: Schizosaccharomyces pombe (fission yeast)
Lineage: Eukaryota; Fungi; Ascomycota; Schizosaccharomycetes; Schizosaccharomycetales; Schizosaccharomycetaceae
Source: the annotation of a GenBank genome assembly
CAAAUGUAUCAAUAUAAAGAUCAUCGAGACGAAGCAAAGCGAUAGCGUCGUCAAUAUCAAAUCCAAGAGCAAAAGCUUGAACAAAGUCCAUACCCUUUUGAAGAGCGCCAGGAUCUUUGGUAGCCUUACUUUCUCUCAAUUCGACAGAGCGUGAUUUGGUGUUCAUACGAACUUGCAAUAACAAAUGCUCAACCAACGGAGGAUACAAUUUCGGCCAUACGUUUCGCAGAGGUGUCAUUCUAUGAGGCGGUAUUGGAACUCUGCGCAUCUGUGGUUUAGCUCCUCGUUUUUUUUCUGCUGAAGUUUUAGCAGGAGCAAAUUUAGGAGCUCCUUCUAUGUCCAUUGUUCCAUUCACAGCAGAGUCCGAAAAUUCAAUUUCACCCCGGGUUGUAUCUAUCAUAACAUUGUCUGAGACAGUUGUUAGAGAAUAAUUUAAACUAAAUUUAGGACUAAACAUACCAUUUUCGC